CUAUGGGAAUGCUUUUGGUUGCAGGGGUUUUCUUUUGGCUUCCGCAGAAAACACAUGCUACCGUUAAAAAACACGCUCCAUAGAUGGACAUUGCAGCUGAAAAAAGCAUGCUACUGGUUCGAAUCCACCCGUUGAAAAUAAAACAUGCUACCGUUAAUAAACACGCUCCAUAGAUAAAUAUUGCAGCUGAAAAAAGCAUGACAAAAACACGCUCCUAUUCCUUAACCUAUUAUAUAUAUGGCCAUUGAUUUAGAAGAAUAGCUCAUCCGCAAUGUUCAGUGUUUCCCUGCGUACAUUGAUUCUGAAUGUACUAGCUCUGCGUACUCCUCUGGUUAUUGCUGCUUCAAGGCCAUAGUGAGCAUAGAGAUGAAAUAUUUUAGGGAACUGAAUUUAUGGAUUCUUGGUAUAGGGCUCGAUGCCCUUUCCUGCAAGGGGUGAAUUUGCCAUUUGGUGUGCCCUAUCUGCGGAGGAAUGUUGUCCCACGGAGUGACGCCUCCAACGCCUCAGAGGUCAUCCGCAUCACCAAUCAUGUGCGGAGGAAUGUUGACUGAUUUCGGAAAGGAGAACCAGUAUGUAUAUUAGCUUAUUAUGGUAGCCGUGGACCAACAAAAUUUGCAGAGGUAGAAGAAUGCUCAGCCAAUAUAAGGGAGGGCAGAAACCAUAUUACUGAAGCUUAAAUGGAAGCAUGUUGCACGCAUUGCUGGAGAUGGUGUAGCUCCAGGAAGACAACAAUGAUGUGGAUAAUAUAAAGCAGGCAUUUAGCAAAUGGCUACUUAUGCUAAAAGUGGAGUGAAUUUUAAAAUAAAUUAAAAUUUGUUGUGAACUUGAAUUUAUAUAUAUUUAAUAAUAAUGUUAAUAUACAAAUUUUUUGUUUCAUUCACAUUGAUGUUAACAGUUUGAUUGUUGAAGUCAGAUUCACUUCAGUGACUUGAUGAAUGUUUAGAAAGUUUUGUUUACAUCAGAUUCUGUUUUGUUGGUUUCUUUGUCCAUCAUUCUAUGCUUUUUGUUUUUUUUCUUAGCUUUCAUUCUCUUUUUGUUUGGCAUGGCCAUGCCGCCUCUGUUUUUAUUGUCUGUAAGUUUUACUCUAAUAUGUUUGGUAUGUGUUUUUAUUUUGUAUUUUUAUGUGUAGAUUGUUUUCAAAAAAGUUUUUUUGGUAUUUUGCAUUUGUUUUUUUUCGUGGGUGGUGAUUUUUCAGGCAGCAGUGAUGAUGAUGAUGAGGAGGAGGAGGAGAAAUGAAGCAGAACUACAUAUCACAAGCACCAGGAAAUACAACAGCAGUAUUGAUGAUAAGGAGGAUGAUGAGGAAAUAGCCAAGCAGCUAGCGAAAGCUUUAAAAGUUUGUUUAUCUGAAGUCCCAAAUAAACAGAGAGCAGCAACAUUAGUUAAUGUUUGGAUUUGGUUCAAGCAGUCGAUGUGGCAGAAGCACUUGGCAUUCGUUGAUUACUAUAAUGAUAAAUACCUUUGCCAUGUCUGUAGAAUGAGUGCAAAGUGAUGCCUAGAGUUACUCAAUUGUUAUUGAUGUCAAUGCAGAACAAAUUUUAAUUUUACUAUUGGACUUUUGCAUCAUUUUCUGAAAUCGUUCAAUUUAUUUGUAAAUGGAUAUGUAAAUAGAUUUGUUGUUUAAUAAUUUUUUUGGGGGGAGGGGUUGAAUUUGCCUCCUCCUCAAGGUUGAAGAGAAUGGUCAUUGGUCAUGGCCAUUUUUGUUAGCCUAGUGUUUCUGCAAUGUUUUUUCAUUUUUA
Molecule: long non-coding RNA, 1739 nt
Organism: Cryptomeria japonica (Japanese cedar)
Lineage: Eukaryota; Viridiplantae; Streptophyta; Pinopsida; Cupressales; Cupressaceae
Exons: 4
Source: RefSeq, a predicted model, not a curated record